Molecule: ribosomal RNA, 253 nt
Filed under: uncultured bacterium
Lineage: Bacteria
Description: partial 16S ribosomal RNA
Rfam family: Bacterial small subunit ribosomal RNA
Source: RNAcentral
UACGUAGGUGGCAAGCGUUGUCCGGAAUUACUGGGCGUAAAGCGUGCGCAGGCGGUUCGUUAAGUCAGCUGUGAAAGCCCCGGGCUCAACCUGGGAAUGGCGGUUGAAACUGGCGAACUUGAAUCUGGCAGAGGGGGGUGGAAUUCCACGUGUAGCAGUGAAAUGCGUAGAGAUGUGGAGGAACACCGAUGGCGAAGGCAGCCCCCUGGGCUGAGAUUGACGCUCAGGCACGAAAGCGUGGGGAGCAAACAGG